GACGAACGCUGGCGGCGUGCCUAAUACAUGCAAGUCGAGCGAAGUUUUUCUGGUGCUUGCACUAGAAAAACUUAGCGGCGAACGGGUGAGUAACACGUAAAGAACCUGCCUCAUAGACUGGGACAACUAUUGGAAACGAUAGCUAAUACCGGAUAACAGCAUUAACUGCAUGGUUGAUGUUUAAAAGUUGGUUUUGCUAACACUAUGAGAUGGCUUUGCGGUGCAUUAGCUAGUUGGUGGGGUAAAGGCCUACCAAGGCGACGAUGCAUAGCCGACCUGAGAGGGUGAUCGGCCACACUGGGACUGAGACACGGCCCAGACUCCUACGGGAGGCAGCAGUAGGGAAUCUUCCGCAAUGGGCGAAAGCCUGACGGAGCAACGCCGCGUGAGUGAAGAAGGAUUUCGGUUCGUAAAGCUCUGUUGUUAGGGAAGAAUGAUUGUGUAGUAACUAUACGCAGUAGAGACGGUACCUAACCAGAAAGCCACGGCUAACUACGUG
RNAcentral lists this ribosomal RNA (499 nucleotides) under uncultured bacterium. Its description in RNAcentral is "partial 16S ribosomal RNA". It matches the Rfam family "Bacterial small subunit ribosomal RNA", at positions 28 to 507 of the family's 1533-position model. The record is from RNAcentral.